RNAcentral lists this ribosomal RNA (516 nucleotides) under Achelia alaskensis. RNAcentral describes it as "partial 16S ribosomal RNA". The record is from RNAcentral. Lineage: Eukaryota; Metazoa; Arthropoda; Pycnogonida; Pantopoda; Ammotheidae.
GCCUUUUGAUAAAAAAUUUAAAUAUGAGGUCGGUCCUGCUCAAUGAAUUUUUAAAUAGCCGCAGUAAAUUGACUGUGCUAAGGUAGCAUAAUAAUUUGUCUUUUAAUUGGAGACUGGAAUGAAUGGGUUGACAUAAAAAUAUCUGUCUUAAUUUUUGUGUUUGAAUUUUAUUUUAAAGUAAAAAAGCUUUAAAAAAUUAUUUAUUAGUGUUAUUAAGGGACGAAAAGACCCUAUCAAGUUUAAUAAAAUUUAUAUUUUUAUUCUUUAAAUUUGUUUUAUUUUAUUUGUUUGGGGCGGAAUUAAUAGAUUAUCUUUUAAUAAUGUUAUGAUUAAAAAUCUAUAUUGUUGAUCUUUUAUUAGAAAUUAGAUGAUAAAAUUACUGUAGGGUUAACAGGGUUAUCUUUUUUUAGAGUUCAAAUUGAUAAAAAGGAUUACUACCUCGAUGUUGGAUUAAAAAUUGACUGGUUUAAUGAAGAAGUUAACAUAGUGAGUCUGUUCGACUUUUAAAUAUUUACA